GACAGGUGCUGCAUGGCUGUCGUCAGCUCGUGUCGUGAGAUGUUGGGUUAAGUCCCGCAACGAGCGCAACCCUCGCCCUUAGUUGCCAUCAUUCAGUUGGGCACUCUAGGGGGACUGCCGGUGAUAAGCCGCGAGGAAGGUGGGGAUGACGUCAAGUCCUCAUGGCCCUUACAGGCUGGGCUACACACGUGCUACAAUGGCGGUGACAAUGGGACGCGGAGGGGUGACCCCGAGCAAAUCUCAAAAAGCCGUCUCAGUUCGGAUUGCACUCUGCAACUCGAGUGCAUGAAGGUGGAAUCGCUAGUAAUCGCAGAUCAGCACGCUGCGGUGAAUACGUUCCCGGGCCUUGUACACACCGCCCGU
Molecule: ribosomal RNA, 363 nt
Filed under: uncultured Methylocystis sp.
Lineage: Bacteria; Pseudomonadati; Pseudomonadota; Alphaproteobacteria; Hyphomicrobiales; Methylocystaceae
Description: bacterial SSU rRNA
Rfam family: Bacterial small subunit ribosomal RNA
Source: RNAcentral